This 253-nucleotide ribosomal RNA is filed under the name uncultured bacterium. Its description in RNAcentral is "partial 16S ribosomal RNA". It matches the Rfam family "Bacterial small subunit ribosomal RNA", at positions 524 to 776 of the family's 1533-position model. The record is from RNAcentral.
UACGUAGGGUGCAAGCGUUGUCCGGAAUUAUUGGGCGUAAAGAGCUCGUAGGCGGUUUGUCGCGUCUGCUGUGAAAACCCGAGGCUCAACCUCGGGCCUGCAGUGGGUACGGGCAGACUAGAGUGCGGUAGGGGAGAUUGGAAUUCCUGGUGUAGCGGUGGAAUGCGCAGAUAUCAGGAGGAACACCGGUGGCGAAGGCGGGUCUCUGGGCCGAUAUUGACGCUGAGGAGCGAAAGCGUGGGGAGCGAACAGG